ACUCCUACGGGAGGCAGCAGUGGGGAAUUUUGGACAAUGGGCGCAAGCCUGAUCCAGCCAUGCCGCGUGUGUAAAGAAGGUAUUCGGAUUGUAAAGCACUUUAAGUUGGGAGGAAGGGCAGUCAGUUAAUACCUUGCUGUCUUAACGUUACCAACAGAAUAAGCACCAGCUAACUUCGUGCCAGCAGCCGCGGUAAUA
Molecule: ribosomal RNA, 198 nt
Filed under: bacterium enrichment culture DGGE band D4
Lineage: Bacteria
Description: partial 16S ribosomal RNA
Rfam family: Bacterial small subunit ribosomal RNA
Source: RNAcentral